AGGCAGCAGUGGGGAAUAUUGCACAAUGGGCGAAAGCCUGAUGCAGCAACGCCGCGUGAACGAUGAAGGCCUUCGGGUCGUAAAGUUCUGUUCUAAGGGAAGAAUAAAUGACGGUACCUUAGAAGAAAGCCCCGGCUAACUGCGUGCCAGCAGCCGCGGUAAUACGUAGGGGGCAAGCGUUAUCCGGAAUCAUUGGGCGUAAAGGGUGCGUAGGCGGUUAUGCAAGUUAGAGGUGAAAGGCUACGGCUCAACCGUAGUAAGCCUUUAAAACUGCAUAACUUGAGUGCAGGAGAGGAGAGUGGAAUUCCUAGUGUAGCGGUGAAAUGCGUAGAUAUUAGGAGGAACACCAGUGGCGAAGGCGACUCUCUGGACUGUAACUGACGCUGAGGCACGAAAGCGUGGGGAGCGAACAGGAUUAGAUACCCUGGUAGUCACGCCGUAAACGAUGAUCACUAAGUGUGGGGGGUCGAACCUCCGUGCUCAAGCUAACGCGAUAAGUGAUCCGCCUGGGGAGUACGCACGCAAGUGUGAAACUCAAAGGAAUUGACGG
Molecule: ribosomal RNA, 550 nt
Filed under: uncultured Bacillota bacterium
Lineage: Bacteria; Bacillati; Bacillota
Description: bacterial SSU rRNA
Rfam family: Bacterial small subunit ribosomal RNA
Source: RNAcentral